RNAcentral lists this ribosomal RNA (685 nucleotides) under Escherichia coli. RNAcentral's name for it is "partial 23S ribosomal RNA". It matches the Rfam family "Bacterial large subunit ribosomal RNA", at positions 2237 to 2915 of the family's 2925-position model. Lineage: Bacteria; Pseudomonadati; Pseudomonadota; Gammaproteobacteria; Enterobacterales; Enterobacteriaceae. The record is from RNAcentral.
AAUCCGGGUUGCGGACAGUGUCUGGUGGGUAGUUUGACUGGGGCGGUCUCCUCCUAAAGAGUAACGGAGGAGCACGAAGGUUGGCUAAUCCUGGUCGGACAUCAGGAGGUUAGUGCAAUGGCAUAAGCCAGCUUGACUGCGAGCGUGACGGCGCGAGCAGGUGCGAAAGCAGGUCAUAGUGAUCCGGUGGUUCUGAAUGGAAGGGCCAUCGCUCAACGGAUAAAAGGUACUCCGGGGAUAACAGGCUGAUACCGCCCAAGAGUUCAUAUCGACGGCGGUGUUUGGCACCUCGAUGUCGGCUCAUCACAUCCUGGGGCUGAAGUAGGUCCCAAGGGUAUGGCUGUUCGCCAUUUAAAGUGGUACGCGAGCUGGGUUUAGAACGUCGUGAGACAGUUCGGUCCCUAUCUGCCGUGGGCGCUGGAGAACUGAGGGGGGCUGCUCCUAGUACGAGAGGACCGGAGUGGACGCAUCACUGGUGUUCGGGUUGUCAUGCCAAUGGCACUGCCCGGUAGCUAAAUGCGGAAGAGAUAAGUGCUGAAAGCAUCUAAGCACGAAACUUGCCCCGAGAUGAGUUCUCCCUGACUCCUUGAGAGUCCUGAAGGAACGUUGAAGACGACGACGUUGAUAGGCCGGGUGUGUAAGCGCAGCGAUGCGUUGAGCUAACCGGUACUAAUGAACCGUGAGG